AAACCAUGGUGUAGGCACUCUCUCUGUAGAUCCUUGAACCUUUCCCAUGCCUCAAACAAACUCUCAUCUGCUUGUUGAGUAAUAGAAAUGAUAUGGCUCCUCAGACG
This is a non-coding RNA of Spinacia oleracea (spinach), 107 nucleotides long. Lineage: Eukaryota; Viridiplantae; Streptophyta; Magnoliopsida; Caryophyllales; Amaranthaceae. The record is from Rfam.